This 2224-nucleotide long non-coding RNA is filed under the name Marmota monax (woodchuck). Lineage: Eukaryota; Metazoa; Chordata; Mammalia; Rodentia; Sciuridae. The record is from RNAcentral.
CCAGGUGUUAUUUUGACUUGUUUACAGACUCUAACACCCCAGGACCCGGGGCAUCUCUGUCCUCUUGCCUGUUGUUUAUGAUGGCCACACAGACUAUUCCUAAGACUCCCUGCUAUUUUCACAGACCCUCUUUGGUGUAUUCUCUAUUUUGUAGGGUCACCUCCCUGGUUGGGCCAUUUGGGGAAUUGUCUAGGUAUCCUCAUGAUUAGUCUUUUGAGUCAAGGUAUCAUAAUUGUGAUGAUAAGUCUUCUGGGAAAAUCAAGUGGAGUUUCUUCCCUUUGCCUAAAUAGAAAUGUAUCAAGCAUCUAUUAUGUACAUGGUUCACUUCCAGAAUGAUGGAGAAAUAGAUGGAGAAACAGAGAAACACCUCCUUAUUCACUUCCAUGCCUCAGGGUGGUGCUGACAGUGUGAGUGAGGGAAGACUUGAUGCUGUGACCUCACUGCCUGAUUCCCCAGGUGGCUUCAUUUGGAGCCCUGACCCUACCUGAGUCUUCAGAAGAGCCAUAAUACCCAGCAGCAUCAACAGGAAACAAACUCCCUGCCCACUCCUCCUGGCAUUUAAGGAUCUCCUGAGUCCAGACUUGCCCAGUCUUCCAGCCUCAACUCCCACCAAACCCUUACCAGGUCCGGCGCUAUCUCCUUAACACAAAUGCUUCCAUCCUCUGGACCUUUGCUGGGGCAGCUAUUCAUGAUCCUGUCCUCCCCUCCCCCUUGUGCCUCUUAAGGAUUUAUUCGGACUUCUCUAAGCAGCUUUCCCUGGCAAAUAAAAGAAGACCGCCUUGCAAUAAAUUAUUUCUCUUUCUGUGAUCCUUACUUCAUCGUUUCCCAUUUAUUCAUUGAGUGUCGGCCUGUACCCCACCCUGGGCUGGUCUCCUAGGGCUAAUCUAGCCCACCUGGCCUUUUGUCAGGAGAGAGUAGUUCACACAUGAUUGUCACCGCCUCCAGCACCAGCGCAGAAUCUCAGUGAUGUGUCUCUCACCACCGUGUUUUGCACUUUGUCGAAAAGUGUCAGAUGGCUUGUAGAAGAGUGUCAGAUGAUUUGUAGACUGGGCUCUUCCCACUAAUUAGUCAUGUGACCUCUGGGGAAUCGCCGGGCCACUCUGGCUUCUGUUUUCUGAUGAAAUAGUGAUGAAGAUACCUCAGAGUUAUCCAGGGGACAGUGAAGCAGGAUGUAGGAAAGUGUCAUAAAAGCCCGGAACCCCGGGCCAAUGAAAGAUGCACAGUGAUUGUAUCUCCAUUCUCCUCGCCCUAGCUGCGAGACAAUGUCGCUCCCCCUUCGCUCUCCCCGAAUGUCAAGUGCACCAGCUUCCAAACCUUCCUCUGGGCGGCUCCCCCACGGAUCGGAAUCUAGGCUGUGGAGGGUUCCAGUGUAAACUCAGGACACCUCUCCUCCCUGCCACCUCUUCCCAAGGACUCGCGAAACACACCUUGAACCCCUUGCCGGAGCGCAAUUCAGAGCGCCGCCCGGAACUGCAGCUCCACUGCGUGGGCCAAGGCCGGGGGUCGCGCAUUUCUGGUCGGUGACUCAGGGCCUCUUGGUCCGGGGGUGGGGUGGGUAGGCGGGACCCACUAGGGCCGCGCGGGGGCAGCGCCGGGCGAUCGGUCGGCGAGCGGUGGGAGACGAAGCUGGCUCCAACCCCGUCGCCAUUCCGCCGCGAGCGUCUGUCUCGCCAGGUCCCCGAGUGCAGGAGGAAGGCCCGUGCUACUUUCCAUUCCGGGCGCUCCUUUACGGGCGCGCAGCGGCCCGGGCCGCCAGCAGCAGCUGGAGCGCGGAUGGGGCUCUGCGCGCGAAUGAAUGGGCGCCCGGGGGAAGCGCGGGCUGAAGGGCAUUAGGACCGUGAGGAUCGCUCCGCGCUCCUGUCUCUCCCUAUCACAACCCCCCCCCCCCACCUCUCUCCUUUUUCUGCUUUGCAGGACUGAGCAGCCAGGCGCAAGCGAAAACAAACAGCUGGGGCUGGUAGCGCCCCCGCCCCGGCCUCGAGAGCACGCCGGACCCGGCUCCCACCCUGGGCGCCCGGCCGCCCACCAUGAGGAAGAUCCGCGCCAAUGCCAUCGCCAUCCUGACCGUAGCCUGGAUCCUGGGCACUUUCUACUACUUAUGGCAGGACAACCGAGCCCACGCAGCCUCCGGCGGCCGGGGCGCGCAGAAGACCGGCGGGAGGCCAGAGCAGCUGCGCGAGGACCGCACCAUCCCGCUCAUUGUGAGUACGCCCGGCGAGCCGGG